This 1143-nucleotide long non-coding RNA is filed under the name Brassica napus (rape). Its description in RNAcentral is "long non-coding RNA (BNAP_LNC021389)". Lineage: Eukaryota; Viridiplantae; Streptophyta; Magnoliopsida; Brassicales; Brassicaceae. The record is from RNAcentral.
AGGCAGACCUGAAGAUUGCCGCCUCCAAACCCAACCAACUGUGACCGUGUACACCCAUUGAACCGAAAACUCAUAUAGAGAAAGCGGACCACAUAGAGAUUUACUCUCCAGAGACAGACCUGCAAGAGAAAAGGCAGACCGAGGGCCCAACUACCGCACAUACACUAGAACAGAACCGCACCACCAUAGGAAAACAAUACCAAAGCCACAAACUUUAUUGUGGAAAAAGCGGACAGAACGGAGAUCACACUGUCGAGAUUGCUAAACGGAGGCCCAGAAUUAGAACACCACCAGCGAGACGCCGGAGUUGCCUUAACCACGCCGUCACGACGCCCUGCCACUCGCGCUGCCACCACACACGCGCCGCCGUCAUGCACCUGCACCUCCAAAGCGCGUGUCACUAGAGAACAUCAGGAGCAGAAGCCAAAGCCUCAUCACCACAAUGAAACUCUCACGCCUCCACCAGAUCCACAGUAGAUAAAAGCAGAGAUCUUCAGAUCCGCGAAAUCAUCCAACCAAACCACCGGAACCCUAACACCACCGCUGCGCCACCAACCAGAGGAACACAAGGCUCAGACGAGGCUUCACGACAUCACACUUGAGGAAACACCGAAGGCAGAGAAAAUAAGAACCGGUCAGAGAUACCAUCAGAUCCAAAAGCUAAGCGGAGGGGGGGGGGGAGCAGUCACCGUCCUCUAGCAACGCCACCACCCGGAGCUCGCGUCAAGAUCCACCGAAAUCGCCAGAUCUGAGACCGCUUCAAACCUUAAGGAGAACCACCCCACUGCCGAAGAAAGAGACACAAAUGAGGAGACUAGAAACACACGAGCAUGUAACCAGAGCCCGGCGGUCGCGUAGAGACCGGCCCCCGCCGGAAAACGAAGAGCGAAGUUUGAAACCCUAGCGGCGGCGCUUGUGGAGAGAAGAUGGAGUAUAACGUUUUUUUCUUUUUGCUAAGAAGUAUAACGUAAUUCGUUAUCAAUGAAAACCCUUUUUUCAAAAGAAAAACUAGAAUCGAACCCGUGCAUUAGCGCGGUAAUAUUUAAUUUUAUUAGUAAAUUUAAACUGAUACGAAAUAAGUAGUUAAUAUUUUGUUAAACGUUUUGUGUUAUCAAAGAAAUCUACUUAGAGAUGUUACAUUCG